AGAGUUUGAUCCUGGCUCAGGAUGAACGCUAGCGAUAGGCUUAACACAUGCAAGUCGAGGGGUAACGUGUUGGAAGCUUGCUUCCGAUGACGACGACCGGCGGAUGGGUGCGUAACGCGUAUGCAACUUGCCUCACAGUGGAGAAUAACCCGGAGAAAUCCGGACUAAUGUUCCAUACACUCUUAAGUACGCCUGUACAUGAGAGGAAAGAUUUAUCGCUGUGAGAUAGGCAUGCGUCCUAUUAGGUAGUUGGUGAGGUAACGGCUCACCAAGCCGACGAUAGGUAGGGGUGCUGAGAGGCAGAUCCCCCACAUUGGGACUGAGACACGGCCCAAACUCCUACGGGAGGCAGCAGUGAGGAAUAUUGGUCAAUGGAGGAAACUCUGAACCAGCCAAGUCGCGUGAAGGAAGAAUGUCCUAAGGAUUGUAAACUUCUUUAGCGAGCGAGUAAGGACUUCCACGUGAUGGGAGUUUGAAAGUAGCUCGAGAAUAAGUAUCGGCUAACUCCGUGCCAGCAGCCGCGGUAAUACGGAGGAUACGAGCGUUAUCCGGAUUUAUUGGGUUUAAAGGGUGCGCAGGUGGUCUUGCAAGUCAGUGGUGAAAAGCUGAGGCUCAACCUCAGCCUUGCCGUUGAAACUGUAAGACUUGAGAGUACAUGAUGUGGGCGGAAUGCGUAGUGUAGCGGUGAAAUGCAUAGAUAUUACGCAGAACUCCGAUUGCGAAGGCAGCUCACAAAGGUAUGUCUGACACUGAGGCACGAAAGCGUGGGGAGCGAACAGGAUUAGAUACCCUGGUAGUCCACGCCGUAAACGAUGAUUACUUACGCCGGCAACGGUGAAACUCAAAGGAAUUGACGGGGGCCCGCACAAGCGGAGGAACAUGUGGUUUAAUUCGAUGAUACGCGAGGAACCUUACCCGGGAUUGAAAUGUAUGUGAGCCUUUUGGGAAACCGAGAGGGUUCUCUUCGGAGACACAUAUGUAGGUGCUGCAUGGUUGUCGUCAGCUCGUGCCGUGAGGUGUCGGCUUAAGUGCCAUAACGAGCGCAACCCUUAUCGUCAGUUACUAACAGGUCAAGCUGAGGACUCUGGCGAGACUGCCGUCGUAAGGCGAGAGGAAGGUGGGGAUGACGUCAAAUCAGCACGGCCCUUACAUCCGGGGCGACACACGUGUUACAAUGGUAGGGACAGAGAGUAGCCACUCGGUGACGAGGAGCGGAUCUUGAAACCCUAUCUCAGUUCGGAUCGGAGUCUGCAACUCGACUCCGUGAAGCCGGAUUCGCUAGUAAUCGCGCAUCAGCCAUGGCGCGGUGAAUACGUUCCCGGGCCUUGUACACACCGCCCGUCAAGCCAUGGAAGUUGGGGGUACCUGAAGUGCGUGACCGCAAGGAGCGUCCGAGGGUAAAUCCAGUGACUGGGGCUAAGUCGUAACAAGGUAGC
Molecule: ribosomal RNA, 1436 nt
Filed under: human gut metagenome
Description: bacterial SSU rRNA
Rfam family: Bacterial small subunit ribosomal RNA
Source: RNAcentral